GACGAACGCUGGCGGCGUGCCUAAUACAUGCAAGUCGAGCGAACCAAUUGAAAGCCUAGCUUUCAUGAGGUUAGCGGCGGACGGGUGAGUAACACGUGGGUAACCUGCCCUAUAGACUGGGAUAACUCGCGGAAACGCGUGCUAAUACCGGAUAAYACAUCAAAGUGCAUGCUUUGAUGUUGAAAGAUGGUUCUGCUAUCACUAUAGGAUGGGCCCGCGGCGCAUUAGCUUGUUGGUGGGGUAACGGCCUACCAAGGCGACGAUGCGUAGCCGWCCUGAGAGGGUGMUCKGCCACACUGGGACUGAGACACGGCCCAGACUCCUACGGGAGGCAGCAGUAGGGAAUCUUCCACAAUGGGCGAAAGCCUGAUGGAGCAACGCCGCGUGAGCGAAGAAGGUCUUCGGAUCGUAAAGCUCUGUUGUAAGGGAAGA
RNAcentral lists this ribosomal RNA (432 nucleotides) under Ureibacillus sp. R-28532. RNAcentral's name for it is "bacterial SSU rRNA". It matches the Rfam family "Bacterial small subunit ribosomal RNA", at positions 28 to 448 of the family's 1533-position model. Lineage: Bacteria; Bacillati; Bacillota; Bacilli; Caryophanales; Caryophanaceae. The record is from RNAcentral.